UACGUAGGGGGCAAGCGUUGUCCGGAUUUAUUGGGCGUAAAGAGCGUGUAGGCGGCCAGACAGGUCUGUUGUGAAAACUCGAGGCUCAACCUCGAGAUGUCGAUGGAAACCGUCUGGCUAGAGUCCGGAAGAGGAGUGUGGAAUUCCUGGUGUAGCGGUGAAAUGCGCAAAUAUCAGGAAGAACACCUAUGGCGAAGGCAGCACUCUGGGACGGUACUGACGCUGAGACGCGAAAGCGUGGGGAGCGAACAGG
Molecule: ribosomal RNA, 253 nt
Filed under: uncultured bacterium
Lineage: Bacteria
Description: partial 16S ribosomal RNA
Rfam family: Bacterial small subunit ribosomal RNA
Source: RNAcentral